This 7080-nucleotide unclassified non-coding RNA is filed under the name Polistes canadensis. Its description in RNAcentral is "probable serine/threonine-protein kinase DDB_G0282963, transcript variant X1". Lineage: Eukaryota; Metazoa; Arthropoda; Insecta; Hymenoptera; Vespidae. The record is from RNAcentral.
UCAACACGCGAGAGGACGCCAUAUUGAGUGAAGUGUUGACUGAUGCGGUGCAGGUGUUUACGCGGUAGUUAAUACAAUUUGUAGAAAAUUAAAAAGAACGUAUCAGUUGUAUUUUUAACCGGGAAAUAAAUUCGGUUGAUAUUUUAUUGCGUUAUUGUUCUAUUAGAUUAAUUGUAAUAAUGAGCGGUAGUGACGUCAAGGAAGAACACUGUGAAAGAGCUAAAGAAGGAAACGUUGCAUCAAUGAACGAAGAUACUCUUACAAAUUCCAAUUGUACGCACAAAGAUCCCCAAUGUUUUUUUAAUAAUGAUUAUAUGCAAUUGGGGGCUGAUAUACCAGGUAAUAUCAAUGGGGUAGAGGAAGAGGAGGAGGUGAUGGAGGAGGAGGAAGAAGAGGAAACGAUUACAUCUACCAAUGUAACUGAUUACGUUCCUGUUAUGAACAUGAAUAUUAACGAGAGCGAAGUCGAUACUUCAGAUAGCGAGACGGUGUAUUCUGAGAAUAUGGAAUCUUCUAUCGUAUCAACCAACCCCGAUAUAUCCUCUCAUAAUAUUUCUAAUAAAUCUCUAUCGGUUCAUCAUAGUCCUUCGAGAGGAAUUAGAGAAUCUUGCUCGUGUGAUGUUUAUAAGGCUAACAGAGAUAUAUCUCGCGAAGAGGUGCAAGCUGCUAUGAAAUUUCAAAAGCUUUGGUCACAUUUGAGGCAGCAAAUAAGAGCUAUUUUUAAAAACGCGUUGGAAGUAUCUCGUUCCUCCGAUUCUUUAGAAUCCCAACAAGAAAUGUUAUCUGUGAUUGAUAUGCAUGAUACGGUGACUCAAUUGUGCGUAAAGGAUCCUUAUCAAUUAUUUAUGAGGUUAGUGGGUCAGGCACAAGAGUUUGUUAUAGAAGUUAAAGUUCGCCUAUUGGCACUUCUAGAUGACCGUAGUGUGAUUAAUUUAGCUGAAAUUUUUCUUAACGGGCUUUUGGAUGACUAUGAUGCGUUAAUGACCACUGCUUUUAAAAUUUCUAUUAUAGUUAAACCGUUAAAAAACUAUCUCUAUAAAUUUAACUUAACGUGGGAUUGUUUUAUUAAGAAGUUGUAUCAAAUUUAUGUUUAUAAUAAUCCAUUGGUACAAAAUAAUUUGCCUCCUUUUCUUGUACAGUUAAGGAAAGUUUUGCUAUUGAAAGGUUUAGAAUAUCAGGGACUAAUUCGUAGGUAUUUGUCAUUUGAUGACGAAAUGAUUACGAUUCGUAACUUGUGGCCCGAGAUAGAGCCAUGGAUGGCUAAAUAUAAUGCUGAACAAGCAGUACAAAUGACACAACUCAAGCAACUUAAAAAAGGUCGGGGAUUAUUCACAACUAUUAAUAGGAUUGUGGAAAUGCGAAACAUAAUGAAAUUAUCGGAUGGUGGAAAAGAAUUGCAAGAAAUCGAUGGGCAAAUAACUGCACUUAUCGAACAAGGGAAAUUGAAUACAUCUGGUAUAGAUGGUAGAUCCUUGAGUCCUACUUCAGAUCUUACCUUAGAUUCGCAUAAUAUUUUUCAAUGUCUCGAGAUAGUUCAAAUUUUGUUGGGUGACUGGAGCGAAGCUCGUCAAAAAAAAUUACAUGAUAUUGCAAUGGAAUUUACCGGGGGACAAUUAAUUCCUAAUAAAAGUGAUACUGACUCUUUGGCUUACGCGCAUACAUCAAAUCACUUAGAACAAUUUGCGAUUAAAAGAGUCAGGAGUCACGAUAAAGAUAUAUCUAUAGAAGAUAGUAUUGAGGAAGAAGAAAAUGAUUGUGAAUGUCAAGAAUGUACAAUGCCUUUAACAUCUUCAUUGAGUGAAAAUGGUCACGUUGGAAAUGUUGAAUCAUCAACGGAUAAUGUAAAUUUUUUCCCCAUCAUCGCUAAUGGAUUGAUGAAGCAUAUUAUUAACUUUAGUGCUACUAAUAAUACUAAUACUGAAAUUCAGUUAAAAAAAUUAUUGGAAGAGAUCAAAGAUACGAUUGAUCUUAAAGAAGAUAAAGAUAUUAUUUUAAAGAACGUAGAGGAAAAUAUAGUAGAUACGCAGACAUCUAUUCCACAACCAUGUCAAUGCGUUUAUUUACAUGCGAAAGAAAUAGCUGAAAGGAAGAAAGAAACUAUAGAAGAUCCUCCUUGUCCUUGUAUUUUAAAUUCAAAACGAAAAUGGGAUAUUUGCCCGUGUUUAACAACAAUUUUAGAGGAGCAUGCUGUUAAUAAUACUAACGUUCAUCCUAAGGAAAUGUCCAAUCCAGUUGCAGUUAAUUGUAAUCAAGAGUUAACUAAACCUGUUAUAAAAACAGGAUCAACACAAUCGACGCAAACACAAACAAGGCAUUCCACGACACAAACAUCUAAUUCAAAUCAUAAUCGCAUAACAUUUCCAAGUACCACUACUACCACUACCACUACAACUACUACCACAACCCAUCCGCAUACUCAUAGAUCUGCUUCGGAUAUAACAAAAAGUACAGCGUCUUCGCACAAACUUCAUAAUCACAACAAUCAUAACUCACAUGCUUGUCAUAAACAAACAAAUGUUGAGCAGAUCAAAAGGGUAUCAUGCAACGAUUUAAGUUCGGGAGAUGGUGAUUGUUCUGAUUCUGCAAGUAGUCAAGAAGAUUCUUCCUCGACUAGUAGCUCAGCGCAAAGAGGAGAUUCUAGUAGACAUUGUGAUUGUUGUUAUUGCGAAGUUUUUGGACAUGGAGUUCCUUCUGUAGCACCAGUUAGUAGAAAUUAUAAUGAAAUGAGAGAACGAUUAAGACAAAUAUUAACAAAGAAAAAAGCUAAAAAAUGUAAAGCUACUUAUAACACUCCAAAAAGUAUGGUGGAUGUAGCAUUGCCACUUUCCAACGUCAAUCAAGAAAAUAAACCAAUUAUAAACAAUUUGACAUUAAGAUCUAAUACUUCGGUUCCAAGAACAUGUCCUAAAGAUUUGAGGGAUCAAAGAAAUUUAGAAGAAUUGUUGGACUUUAUCGAAGGUAAUCAAAAUGGGAAAAAGGAUAAUAACAAGAAAGCCGAGAAAAAGGCUAGGCAGAAGCAACGUAAGUUGCAAGAGAAAAUCAAGAAGGAAAGGCAAGAAGUAGAAAAGCAGAGAUUAAUCGAAUUGCAAAAGAAAACACCAGAAGUAACAAUCACAGUUGUUGAUUCGCAAAAACCUGUAAGUCAAAGAUUUUUACCGCAGUGUAAUCUUCCCGAAGUAUCAAUUUUGCCUACUAAUAAUCCAGGCACUUUACCAAAUGGAAAACAUUUAACAAAUAAGAAAAAGGACAAGCAAGAAAUGUGCAAUAUUAAUAUGACUAAUUGCAUUAAUAACAAAGUUAGGAUGGCACCUUCCGUAAUUGCAAAUUUAAAAAUGAAAAGUAUGUUGAAUAUAGGUAACAAAUUAGAACAAAUGAAUUCUAAUCAUCAUCACCAUCAACAACAGCAACAACAUCAUCAAACAAAUAAGGUGGACAUAAAAAAUGAAAAAAUUGAAUUUAGUAAUAAAGCUUUUAAAGGAACAACAAAUGUUAAUACAAUAAAUACAAAAGAUAAUGCCAAUAAUCUAGCUGAUAAAUUAGCAGCAAUGGAUUUAGUAGACAAACAAUUGACUAAGAAAGAAAGGAAAAAAUUACGACGAGAAAUUAGAAAGCAAGAAUUAGCUAAAGUGAAUGCAACGGUUGAGUCAGAACCUGUUAAAAAUAAACCACAAAUAGUUACGAUUAAAAGAAUAAUGGAAUCGAAUAGUGCAGAACCGACAGUAACGAUAACGUUAAAAGGACAAACUCCUGCAGAGGAUAAAGUUUUAUUUACUUUAGUGAAUGGACAAACGAAGGAAGUACCUUUGCAUAAAUCUGACCAAGAACAAAAUGUAUGUAAUAAUAGUAAUAAUAAUAAUAGUAAUAGUAAAAAGAAAAAGAAUAAAGGAUCUAAUAAUACAGAAACGAUACAAAGUAACAAAUUUCAACAAACGAAUACAAAACAACAACAGCAAGUUAAAGUGUGUGACGCAAAGCAUACAAAGUAUCAAAGUAACAACGAAAAGAUAAAAGCUAUUAAACAAAAUGAUGAAAGAAAAACUCAACAGCAAAGCGUUAAUGAAGUUAAAAGUAUGAAAUCUAAGAAAGAUAAAAAGAAUUCUGAAACCAAAGAAAAUGUCAUGCAACAGCAGCAGCAACAACAACAGAAUAUAUCCAGUAAAAGUAAAAAUUUACAACAAAAUACUCAAUCUAAGAAAGCAAAUAAAUCUAAUAAUGUAUUGCAAACGGAUAUGUAUAAAUCUAACGUUACUUUAGAACCAGUUGCAAAGACAAAGAAUCAACAAGAAAAAUCUAACGACGGGAAUAGUAAUAAAAAUAAGAAACUUGUAAAUAUAACUAAUACAAAUAAACCAGUAAAGAAUGAUCAACAGAAGGUUCAAAUUAAGGGAAAUAAUAAUAAUAGCAGUAAUAUGAUCAAACAAGGAUCAUUCUCAACGAUACCUUCUACGUCGGAUGAUGUUAUAAAUAUGACACUGAGUUCACAGUUUCGAGACAUUAGUCUAAAUUCGAAAAUUAAUAUAGAAAAUCUUAAAUUACCACCCGGUAUUACGAUAACAAAAGUUGACGGUCCUAUUAAGCCAUUUCCAUUAAAAUCAACAACUUUGCCUAAGCCAGUUACUCCUCCAAAACAAACAACUAUCAUAGCUGCUCCGAUGAGCGGAGUUCAAUCUAGUUAUGCCAGUCCUCAAGCUGGUGGUAACGUCAUUGUAGUAGACACUGGAAAACUUAAACAAGAUCUUCUUCCAAAACCAAAUGAAAUAGAACUAUCAAGAGAUAUUCGUCCAAAUCAAACUAUAACGGGGAAGAAGAAGAAAAAGAAAAAUAAGAACUCUACGAAUGCGAGCAAUUUGAUACAGAAUGCAAUUAAGAGUACAGAGUGUUCUACUAAUAGCGAGAAUAUGGAAGAUUCUGCAAGAAUUCUUCACAAUCCUAAUACAAACAUGGUGACGAUAAGGAAUCCUGCGUUUGGUCCGAUGAAAGUCCCACCAACGCAACAAGCAGCUAUAAUAAAAGUUUCUGAAAAUGGUAUGGUCACUAUAAGAAGUCCAGCACUUCAACAAGCAAUCAAUGCGGGUUUGGCAACACCUUCCAAACCAGAUUACAUAGUGAAAGGUGAUGUAUCAUCAAAUGCCGCGACUUUGGAUACAAUAAACAUAAACGUAAAACGUAAUAAAAAUGAAAUGAUAUCAAGUAGUCUUGCCGAAUUGCGAUCAAGAUUAACGCCAGAUUGUCCCAGUUUGGCUGGCCUCGCGAACAUUCAAAUAAGCAAAGUGGCCAAAGGUCAACCUAUUCCAGAGAAUGGGAUUAAUCUGAAAGGUACUAGCGUAACGUUAACUAAAGUGAGAACGGAUACAAAUCUUGAAGACGUUCAUCAAACCAAAGCUGCUGCAGUAAGAGAUGCUAUCAACGCUUCUAUAACAGCUUCCUCGACUAGCGGCAAGGGAAAGAAAAAGAAAAAGCGUGGAAACUGUACGAGGCAGUGCGGAGAUGACUGGAACCUCGUUGGAGGGGGCAGUGUACCGCGUUAGGAUGACGGUCUCGGCUAGGUCGAAAGAUUUUUCAGAUACCGGAUUACCUCGAGAUGUCCUCAAAUUGGCCUCCACAAAUAUCUUGGGGAUUGUUCGGAAGACACUCCGGCCGAUAAGAGCGUAUUCACACCUAAAGAUAUAGACCUUGAGGAUGGGGAGAUGGAUGACGCAGAACGUGAAUUAGAAGCAUUCAAGAGGUUCUGUCUUCAAUCUGUACCACCCCCACGAAAGGAGAAGGUCAAUCUCAACUUAAAGGACAUCGUUCUUAAGAAGAAAUCCUCAUCCUCUGCGACAGCUGCUGUUAUUGCUGCUAAUUGAUUUGUUCGUUAGUUUUAAUUACCACGAAAAAGAAAGAAAGAAAGGAAAGAAGCGUGAUUAUAAUUAUACAUAUAAUGUAUGAAAAAAUACUGCCAGAACAAAAAUAAUUGACACGUUUGAAAAUGCGUGUGAAUAAUAUGUGUACGUAAAAAAGCGUUGUUUCUUGCUAAAUAAUAAUGCGAUUGAACAACGUUAAUAAUUAAAUGAUUAUUCGUUGAUUUAACGACAAUGGACAUCGUCAUCUUUGCCGUUGUUGUUGUCUCAGUCAUUAUAAUUAUCAUCAUUAUCAUUAUUGUUAUAUGAUCAUUGUCAUCUUAUUGACGCUAAGUCAACUUCGUAUUUUCAAACAAGAUACAUGAAUGUAAUGAUAUUAAUAUAUUUAAGACGGUUUAAAGAAUACGGAUAGACGAUUAGAUGAUGAAGAAGUAGACAAAUAGAUAAUUAGAUAGAUAGAUAGAUAGUUAGUUAGGCAAGUAGAUAGAUAAUUAGAAGUGAGUGAGAGAGAAAGAGAGAGCGAACGAGUGAAAUAAAAAAAAAAAAGGAACAAAAGAAUUAGUGCGAAUGAGAGGAAAGAGAUAUGUUGUUGAUAUAUAUAUAUAUAUAUAUAUAAAAAAAAAUUAAGAGAAAGAAGAAGAAGAAGAAGAAGAAGAAUAAUAAAAAAUAAUUUAGCUAAUGAUUUGAUCGAGUGGUAAGACCGACGAUUAUUUGUACAACAAUGUGACAUAAAAAGUGUACAUUGUAUGUAUGUAUGUAUGUAUGUUUGCUUGCAGUAUGUAAUUUACGUAUGUAGUUACUAAUUGCAUACGUAUGUUAUAACGUGUAUAUGCACGCGUGUGUGUAUGUAUAUACAUAUAUAUAUAUAUAAUUUAAGUAUAAUAAUAGUAGAAAUUAAUUUUUCUGCCAAGACUGUCACGUACCUAAAGUGAUUCUACACUGAUGAACGGUGUACCGUAAUAAUGUCAACAUUUAAAAGAAAUAUACGUUCUUGCCAUAUCACGAAAAUUAAUGGACGAUUUAAUCGCUAUUAGUAAUCGGAUGUUUUUGUCAAAUGCACGACAAAACUUAAGCAAGUUCGAAAAUACAGACACACGAUGAACAAUCCUGUUCCAUGGGACGGUGCGCGCGCGCGCGUGUAAUUCACUGCGUUAAUGUGAACACGCGACGAAGAAAAACACACACACACACAUAUAUAUAUAUACGUAUUCUUUUUUUCAAUAAAAGAAACAAACGCGAA